Molecule: ribosomal RNA, 116 nt
Filed under: Pteropus alecto (black flying fox)
Lineage: Eukaryota; Metazoa; Chordata; Mammalia; Chiroptera; Pteropodidae
Source: RNAcentral
GUCUAUGGCCAUGCCACCCUGAACAAGCCCAGUGUCUGAUUUUGGGAACUAAACAGGGUCGGGCCUGGUUAGUACUUGGAAGGGAGACCACCUAGAAAGACCAGGUACUGUAGGCA